GAGUUAGAUACCCUAUUAUACUUGAUAUAAAUAAAUAUACCUGAUUAUUAAUAGAUAUGUUCUUUAAAAUCAAAGAAUUUGGCGGUGUUUUAGUCUAAUUAGAGGAACCUGUUUUAUAAUCGAUAAACCACGAAAUAUCUUACUUGUUUAAAGUAGUUUGUAUACCGUCAUUGUUAGAUAACGUUUAUAGAUAAAGUUGUUGAAAUUAGUUUAAACUAAGUAUAUUAGAUCAAGGUGCAGCCAAUAGACAAGAAAAAAUGGGUUACAAUAAUAUGUGUUUAUAACGGAUUUUUUCAAGAAUAAAGAAAUGAAGGAGGAUUUAUUUGUAAGUUUAUUUUAAUAAGUUAAAUUGAAUUGAGCUCUAAAAUGAGUACAUAUCGGCCGUCGCUA
RNAcentral lists this ribosomal RNA (390 nucleotides) under Paraleucolepidopa myops. RNAcentral describes it as "partial 12S ribosomal RNA". Lineage: Eukaryota; Metazoa; Arthropoda; Malacostraca; Decapoda; Albuneidae. The record is from RNAcentral.